RNAcentral lists this ribosomal RNA (442 nucleotides) under uncultured Streptococcus sp. RNAcentral's name for it is "bacterial SSU rRNA". It matches the Rfam family "Bacterial small subunit ribosomal RNA", at positions 941 to 1382 of the family's 1533-position model. Lineage: Bacteria; Bacillati; Bacillota; Bacilli; Lactobacillales; Streptococcaceae. The record is from RNAcentral.
GUUGGUUUAAUUCGAAGCAACGCGAAGUAACCUUUACCAGGUCUUGACAUCCCGAUGCUAUUUCUAGAGAUAGAAAGUUACUUCGGUACAUCGGUGACAGGUGGUGCAUGGUUGUCGUCAGCUCGUGUCGUGAGAUGUUGGGUUAAGUCCCGCAACGAGCGCAACCCCUAUUGUUAGUUGCCAUCAUUCAGUUGGGCACUCUAGCGAGACUGCCGGUAAUAAACCGGAGGAAGGUGGGAUGACGUCAAAUCAUCAUGCCCCUUAUGACCUGGGCUACACACGUGCUACAAUGGUUGGUACAACGAGUUGCGAGUCGGUGACGGCGAGCUAAUCUCUUAAAGCCAAUCUCAGUUCGGAUUGUAGGCUGCAACUCGCCUACAUGAAGUCGGAAUCGCUAGUAAUCGCGGAUCAGCACGCCGCGGUGAAUACGUUCCCGGGCCUU